AGCAUAUCAAUAAGCGGAGGAAAAGAAACUAACAAGGAUUCCCCUAGUAACUGCGAGUGAAGAGGGAAAAGCUCAAAUUUAAAAUCUGGCAGUUAUUUGCUGUCCGAGUUGUAAAUUGGAGAAGUGUUAUCCGCGCUGGCCUGUGCAUAAGUCUCUUGGAAAAGAGCAUCAUAGAGGGUGACAAUCCCGUCUUUGGCACAGACUACCAGGGCUUUUGUGAUGCGCUCUCAACGAGUCGAGUUGUUUGGGAAUGCAGCUCUAAAUGGGUGGUAAAUUCCAUCUAAAGCUAAAUAUUGGCGAGAGACCGAUAGCGCACAAGUACCGUGAGGGAAAGAUGAAAAGAACUUUGGAAAGAGAGUUAAACAGUACGUGAAAUUGUUGAAAGGGAAACGCUUGAAGUCAGUCAUGUCUCACUGAAAUCAACCUGGCACUUGUCUGGUGUACUUUCUGUGGGACAGGUCAGCAUCAGUUCUGAUUGCUGGAAAAAGGCCUUGGGAAUGUGACAUCUUUUCGAAGAUGUGUUAUAGCCCUUGGACCACAUACAGUGGUUGGGACUGAGGAACUCGAUGUGUGGUAUGCUCUGGGGUUUCGGUCCUGGAGUCAUGCAUUCAAGGAUGCUGGCAUAAUGGCUUUAAUCGACCCGUCU
RNAcentral lists this ribosomal RNA (646 nucleotides) under uncultured fungus. RNAcentral describes it as "eukaryotic LSU rRNA". It matches the Rfam family "Eukaryotic large subunit ribosomal RNA", at positions 37 to 654 of the family's 3401-position model. The record is from RNAcentral. Lineage: Eukaryota; Fungi.